GACGUUAGCGACAGAAAAGACACCGGCUAACUCCGUGCCAGCAGCCGCGGUAAUACGGAGGGUGCGAGCGUUAAUCGGAAUUACUGGGCGUAAAGCGCAUGCAGGUGGUUUGUUAAGUCAGAUGUGAAAGACCCGGGGCGUCAACCUCGGAAUAGCAUUUGAAACUAGGCAGACUAGAGUACUGUAGAGGGGGGUAGGAAUUUCUAGGUGUAGCGGUGAAAUAGCGUAGAGAUCUGAAGGAAUACCGGUGGCGAAGGCGGCCCCCUCGGACAGAUACUGACACUCAGAUGCGAAAGCGUGGGGAGCAAACAGGAUUAGAUACCCUGGUAG
RNAcentral lists this ribosomal RNA (330 nucleotides) under uncultured bacterium. RNAcentral's name for it is "bacterial SSU rRNA". It matches the Rfam family "Bacterial small subunit ribosomal RNA", at positions 471 to 793 of the family's 1533-position model. The record is from RNAcentral.